AUGAGCUGUGAAUCUUGUGGACAGAAGACCGGAGUCUCCGGUUGCAGAAGCUAUUCUGCGAGAGUCAGCAUCUUCAUCCAAACAAGAAGAUCACGGAGAGAUAAACACAAGAGCCCCAUCAUCUCGCAUGUGGGGACAAAGGCAACAAAAAACUCUGUGCAAAAGGCUGAUCCUUUGAGAUUUGUAACAAAGGAACAUCAAGAAAAGAAACCAUCUAACUGCUCCCUUGGCAGAAGCACAGCACCAACUGGCAGGAGAACACCUCACCAGGGAAGAAUGACACCUUUUGAAUCAGAAAAAAGUCAGUCAGUGGCAAGGUGUAUUUAG
This 327-nucleotide long non-coding RNA is filed under the name Anser cygnoides (Swan goose). RNAcentral's name for it is "lncRNA (ENSACDG00005009550.1)". Lineage: Eukaryota; Metazoa; Chordata; Aves; Anseriformes; Anatidae. The record is from RNAcentral.